Molecule: small RNA, 123 nt
Filed under: Pseudomonadota bacterium
Lineage: Bacteria; Pseudomonadati; Pseudomonadota
Description: RtT sRNA
Rfam family: RtT RNA
About the family: This family represents a bacterial cis-regulatory element known as RtT RNA. The exact function of RtT is unknown although it is thought that it may be involved in changing the cellular response in relation to amino acid starvation.
Source: RNAcentral
GGUAAAUUUUUAUCGGAUUGGAUCAGCGAGCGGCAAGGGCGACGAAGCGGGGAUAACGCCGCGUACGCGGCGGCCCCGGAGGGGCGAGGAGCGGAGCGACGAGUAAUCCCUCCCUCUCCGCCA